UUUUUAUGUAAUUUUAGGGAUGUAAUCACUCCAAAAAAAAAAAAAUAAAAUGCAAAUUAUCCAUUUUGCCCCUUAAAGAGGUUAUCUUACACAUCAUUCUACUCUAACUUCCUACCCCUUAACACUCUGUCCCCCUUCAUUUCUUUUAACAUUUCUAUGAUCCACACGGCAUUCUACUUUGCACCUAAUGGUGAUUAAAAGAUCAACACACAAGAUAUUGCGCAAGUAGCAACCACCCAAAUGCCUUAUCAGAUUGCCUAGCAAGACCCAGAAAUUAUAAUUUUGCUGAUUGCUUCGUUU
This 300-nucleotide unclassified non-coding RNA is filed under the name Hevea brasiliensis (rubber tree). The record is from RNAcentral. Lineage: Eukaryota; Viridiplantae; Streptophyta; Magnoliopsida; Malpighiales; Euphorbiaceae.